GGUCAAGUCCCGUGCGGCUGCGACAAGCCCAACCCCGCCAGGUCCGGAAGGAAGCAACGGUCAGUUUGCUCUCAGAGCGCCACGGUUAACUUGACCGAU
Molecule: signal recognition particle RNA, 99 nt
Filed under: Ignavibacteriota bacterium
Lineage: Bacteria; Pseudomonadati; Ignavibacteriota
Description: Ignavibacteriae bacterium (groundwater metagenome) signal recognition particle sRNA small type
Rfam family: Bacterial small signal recognition particle RNA
About the family: The signal recognition particle (SRP) is a universally conserved ribonucleoprotein involved in the co-translational targeting of proteins to membranes. Archaeal SRP consists of a 7S RNA and homologues of the eukaryotic SRP19 and SRP54 proteins. In most bacteria, the SRP consists of a 4.5S RNA and the Ffh protein (a homologue of the eukaryotic SRP54 protein).
Source: RNAcentral